CAAUGGCAUAAGCCAGCUUGACUGCGAGCGUGACGGCGCGAGCAGGUGCGAAAGCAGGUCAUAGUGAUCCGGUGGUUCUGAAUGGAAGGGCCAUCGCUCAACGGAUAAAAGGUACUCCGGGGAUAACAGGCUGAUACCGCCCAAGAGUUCAUAUCGACGGCGGUGUUUGGCACCUCGAUGUCGGCUCAUCACAUCCUGGGGCUGAAGUAGGUCCCAAGGGUAUGGCUGUUCGCCAUUUAAAGUGGUACGCGAGCUGGGUUUAGAACGUCGUGAGACAGUUCGGUCCCUAUCUGCCGUGGGCGCUGGAGAACUGAGGGGGGCUGCUCCUAGUACGAGAGGACCGGAGUGGACGCAUCACUGGUGUUCGGGUUGUCAUGCCAAUGGCACUGCCCGGUAGCUAAAUGCGGAAGAGAUAAGUGCUGAAAGCAUCUAAGCACGAAACUUGCCCCGAG
This 452-nucleotide ribosomal RNA is filed under the name Salmonella enterica. RNAcentral describes it as "partial 23S ribosomal RNA". It matches the Rfam family "Bacterial large subunit ribosomal RNA", at positions 2352 to 2803 of the family's 2925-position model. The record is from RNAcentral. Lineage: Bacteria; Pseudomonadati; Pseudomonadota; Gammaproteobacteria; Enterobacterales; Enterobacteriaceae.